GGGAAAAUAUGGAAUUUAUUAUUUUUCGGGGGCUCAGGAGCUGUCGAAGCGCAGGAAAUAUUUAUGAGCUGAGAAAAAUAGGCAACGAAAACCGCCGAAGGAUACUUGUGGAAAAUGGAAAGAGGUUGAGUAAUGGGCAUUGCAGAAACUGGCCAGAAUAGGAAUUGGAAUGGUUGGUGACGGAGA
Molecule: non-coding RNA, 186 nt
Organism: Caenorhabditis elegans
Lineage: Eukaryota; Metazoa; Nematoda; Chromadorea; Rhabditida; Rhabditidae
Source: Ensembl